AAAUGAAUAGACGGGCACCCGCACAAGCGGUGGAGCAUGCUGUUUAAUUCGAAGAUACGCGAAGAACCUUACCUGGGCUUGACAUCCCAUUGCAAGAUUUUGGAAACAAGAUCCCUCUUCCUCGAGAAGACAAUGGUGACAGGUGGUGCAUGGUUGUCGUCAGCUCGUGUCGUGAGAUGUUCGGUUAAGUCCGAUAACGAGCGCAACCCUUAUCUUUAAUUGCUAACAUUUAGUUGAGAACCUUAAAGAGACUGCCGGUGAUAAACCGGAGGAAGGUGGGGAUGACGUCAAAUCAUCAUGCCCCUUACGUCCAGGGCUACAGGCGUGCUAUAAUGGCCGAUAUAAAAAGAUGCAAUCUCGUGAGAGGGAGCAAAUCUCAAAAGUCGGUCUCAGUCCGGAUUGGAGUCUGCAACUCGACUCCAUGAAGUUAGAAUCGCUAGUAAUCGUGAAUCAGAAUGUCACGGUGAAUACGUUCCCGGGUGUUGUACACACCGCCCGU
This 499-nucleotide ribosomal RNA is filed under the name uncultured bacterium. RNAcentral's name for it is "bacterial SSU rRNA". It matches the Rfam family "Bacterial small subunit ribosomal RNA", at positions 903 to 1397 of the family's 1533-position model. The record is from RNAcentral.